UACGUAGGGCGCAAGCGUUGUCCGGAAUCAUUGGGCGUAAAGAGCGUGUAGGCGGCUUGGUAAGUCCGCUGUGAAAGUCCAGGGCUCAACCCUGGAAUGCCGGUGGAAACUGUCAAGCUUGAGUCCGGAAGAGGCGAGUGGAAUUCCUGGUGUAGCGGUGAAAUGCGCAGAUAUCAGGAGGAACACCAAUGGCGAAGGCAGCUCGCUGGGACGGUACUGACGCUGAGACGCGAAAGCGUGGGGAGCAAACAGG
RNAcentral lists this ribosomal RNA (253 nucleotides) under uncultured bacterium. RNAcentral's name for it is "partial 16S ribosomal RNA". It matches the Rfam family "Bacterial small subunit ribosomal RNA", at positions 524 to 776 of the family's 1533-position model. The record is from RNAcentral.